This 211-nucleotide long non-coding RNA is filed under the name Mytilus galloprovincialis (Mediterranean mussel). Lineage: Eukaryota; Metazoa; Mollusca; Bivalvia; Mytilida; Mytilidae. The record is from RNAcentral.
ACUUCCCCUUUUUCAGUUAAGUAAAUUCAGAAAAUCUAUGUUUAUUUGACAAAAAUUUGAGAAUAUGCCACAAUUAUUUUAAAUGAUCCAAUUUUAACUAGUUCUUGUUAGAAAAUACAAGGUUUACCCCCAGAGUCUAUAACAAAUCGUGUAACAAAAACUGUCAUUGGUCAGAAAUGUGUACAUUUAAUUUUCAUAAAUACAAAUUAAG